RNAcentral lists this ribosomal RNA (1557 nucleotides) under Staphylococcus aureus. RNAcentral describes it as "16S ribosomal RNA". It matches the Rfam family "Bacterial small subunit ribosomal RNA". The record is from RNAcentral. Lineage: Bacteria; Bacillati; Bacillota; Bacilli; Caryophanales; Staphylococcaceae.
UUUUAUGGAGAGUUUGAUCCUGGCUCAGGAUGAACGCUGGCGGCGUGCCUAAUACAUGCAAGUCGAGCGAACGGACGAGAAGCUUGCUUCUCUGAUGUUAGCGGCGGACGGGUGAGUAACACGUGGAUAACCUACCUAUAAGACUGGGAUAACUUCGGGAAACCGGAGCUAAUACCGGAUAAUAUUUUGAACCGCAUGGUUCAAAAGUGAAAGACGGUCUUGCUGUCACUUAUAGAUGGAUCCGCGCUGCAUUAGCUAGUUGGUAAGGUAACGGCUUACCAAGGCAACGAUGCAUAGCCGACCUGAGAGGGUGAUCGGCCACACUGGAACUGAGACACGGUCCAGACUCCUACGGGAGGCAGCAGUAGGGAAUCUUCCGCAAUGGGCGAAAGCCUGACGGAGCAACGCCGCGUGAGUGAUGAAGGUCUUCGGAUCGUAAAACUCUGUUAUUAGGGAAGAACAUAUGUGUAAGUAACUGUGCACAUCUUGACGGUACCUAAUCAGAAAGCCACGGCUAACUACGUGCCAGCAGCCGCGGUAAUACGUAGGUGGCAAGCGUUAUCCGGAAUUAUUGGGCGUAAAGCGCGCGUAGGCGGUUUUUUAAGUCUGAUGUGAAAGCCCACGGCUCAACCGUGGAGGGUCAUUGGAAACUGGAAAACUUGAGKGCAGAAGAGGAAAGUGGAAUUCCAUGUGUAGCGGUGAAAUGCGCAGAGAUAUGGAGGAACACCAGUGGCGAAGGCGACUUUCUGGUCUGUAACUGACGCUGAUGUGCGAAAGCGUGGGGAUCAAACAGGAUUAGAUACCCUGGUAGUCCACGCCGUAAACGAUGAGUGCUAAGUGUUAGGGGGUUUCCGCCCCUUAGUGCUGCAGCUAACGCAUUAAGCACUCCGCCUGGGGAGUACGACCGCAAGGUUGAAACUCAAAGGAAUUGACGGGGACCCGCACAAGCGGUGGAGCAUGUGGUUUAAUUCGAAGCAACGCGAAGAACCUUACCAAAUCUUGACAUCCUUUGACAACUCUAGAGAUAGAGCCUUCCCCUUCGGGGGACAAAGUGACAGGUGGUGCAUGGUUGUCGUCAGCUCGUGUCGUGAGAUGUUGGGUUAAGUCCCGCAACGAGCGCAACCCUUAAGCUUAGUUGCCAUCAUUAAGUUGGGCACUCUAAGUUGACUGCCGGUGACAAACCGGAGGAAGGUGGGGAUGACGUCAAAUCAUCAUGCCCCUUAUGAUUUGGGCUACACACGUGCUACAAUGGACAAUACAAAGGGCAGCGAAACCGCGAGGUCAAGCAAAUCCCAUAAAGUUGUUCUCAGUUCGGAUUGUAGUCUGCAACUCGACUACAUGAAGCUGGAAUCGCUAGUAAUCGUAGAUCAGCAUGCUACGGUGAAUACGUUCCCGGGUCUUGUACACACCGCCCGUCACACCACGAGAGUUUGUAACACCCGAAGCCGGUGGAGUAACCUUUUAGGAGCUAGCCGUCGAAGGUGGGACAAAUGAUUGGGGUGAAGUCGUAACAAGGUAGCCGUAUCGGAAGGUGCGGCUGGAUCACCUCCUUUCUAA